RNAcentral lists this transfer RNA (73 nucleotides) under Actinomycetes bacterium. RNAcentral describes it as "tRNA-Leu". It matches the Rfam family "tRNA". From Rfam's summary of the family: Transfer RNA (tRNA) molecules are approximately 80 nucleotides in length. The record is from RNAcentral. Lineage: Bacteria; Bacillati; Actinomycetota; Actinomycetes.
GCCCUCGUAGCCCAACGGCAGAGGCAGGCGGCUUAAACCCGCCCCAGUGCCGGUUCGAAUCCGGCCGAGGGCA